UGAGGAAUCUUGCGCAAUGGGGGAAACCCUGACGCAGCCACGCCGCGUGGGUGAAGAAGGCCUUCGGGUUGUAAAGCCCUGUCAGGUGGGAAGAACCGCAGUCUGGCCAAUACCUGGACUGCUUGACGGUACCACCAAAGGAAGCACCGGCUAACUCCGUGCCAGCAGCCGCGGUAAUACGGAGGGUGCAAGCGUUGUUCGGAAUUACUGGGCGUAAAGCGCGUGUAGGCGGACCGGUAAGUUGGGAGUGAAAGCCCUGGGCUCAACCCAGGAAGUGCUUCCAAUACUGCCGGCCUUGAGUUCCGGAGAGGGUGGUGGAAUUCCCCGGUGUAGAGGUGAAAAUUCGUAGAUAUCGGGAGGAACACCAGUGGCGAAGGCGACCACCUGGACGAGAACUGACGCUGAGACGCGAAAGCGUGGGGGGCCAAACAGGAUUAGAUACCCUGGUAGUCCACGCCGUAAACGGUGUUCACUAGGUGUAGCGGGUAUUGACCCCCCGCUGUGCCGCAGCUAACGCAUUAAGUGAACCGCCUGGGGAGUACGG
This 544-nucleotide ribosomal RNA is filed under the name uncultured bacterium. RNAcentral describes it as "partial 16S ribosomal RNA". It matches the Rfam family "Bacterial small subunit ribosomal RNA", at positions 355 to 885 of the family's 1533-position model. The record is from RNAcentral.